RNAcentral lists this ribosomal RNA (253 nucleotides) under uncultured bacterium. Its description in RNAcentral is "partial 16S ribosomal RNA". It matches the Rfam family "Bacterial small subunit ribosomal RNA", at positions 524 to 776 of the family's 1533-position model. The record is from RNAcentral.
GACAGAGGGCGCGAGCGUUGUUCGGAAUUACUGGGCGUAAAGCGCACGCAGGUGGCUGAGUCAGUCGAUUGUGAAAGCCCUGGGCUUAACCUGGGAAUUGCAGUCGAUACUACUCAGCUAGAGUAUGGGAGAGGGUAGUGGAAUUCCCGGUGUAGCGGUGAAAUGCGUAGAUAUCGGGAGGAACAUCAGUGGCGAAGGCGGCUACCUGGCCCAAUACUGACACUCAGGUGCGACAGCGUGGGGAGCAAACAGG